UGCUGGAGGUAUCAGAAGUGCGAAUGCUGACAUAAGUAACGAUAAAGCGGGUGAAAAGCCCGCUCGCCGGAAGACCAAGGGUUCCUGUCCAACGUUAAUCGGGGCAGGGUGAGUCGACCCCUAAGGCGAGGCCGAAAGGCGUAGUCGAUGGGAAACAGGUUAAUAUUCCUGUACUUGGUGUUACUGCGAAGGGGGGACGGAGAAGGCUAUGUUGGCCGGGCGACGGUUGUCCCGGUUUAAGCGUGUAGGCUGGUUUUCCAGGCAAAUCCGGAAAAUCAAGGCUGAGGCGUGAUGACGAGGCACUACGGUGCUGAAGCGACAAAUGCCCUGCUUCCAGGAAAAGCCUCUAAGCAUCAGGUAACAUUAAAUCGUACCCCAAACCGACACAGGUGGUCAGGUAGAGAAUACCAAGGCGCUUGAGAGAACUCGGGUGAAGGAACUAGGCAAAAUGGUGCCGUAACUUCGGGAGAAGGCACGCUGAUAUGUAGGUGAAGCGACUUGCUCGUGGAGCUGAAAUCAGUCGAAGAUACCAGCUGGCUGCAACUGUUUAUUAAAAACACAGCACUGUGCAAACACGAAAGUGGACGUAUACGGUGUGACGCCUGCCCGGUGCCGGAAGGUUAAUUGAUGGGGUUAGCGGUAACGCGAAGCUCUUGAUCGAAGCCCCGGUAAACGGCGGCCGUAACUAUAACGGUCCUAAGGUAGCGAAAUUCCUUGUCGGGUAAGUUCCGACCUGCACGAAUGGCGUAAUGAUGGCCAGGCUGUCUCCACCCGAGACUCAGUGAAAUUGAACUCGCUGUGAAGAUGCAGUGUACCCGCGGCAAGACGGAAAGACCCCGUGAACCUUUACUAUAGCUUGACACUGAACAUUGAGCCUUGAUGUGUAGGAUAGGUGGGAGGCUUUGAAGUGUGGACGCCAGUCUGCAUGGAGCCGACCUUGAAAUACCACCCUUUAAUGUUUGAUGUUCUAACGUGGGCCCCUUACCGGGGUUGCGGACAGUGUCUGGUGGGUAGUUUGACUGGGGCGGUCUCCUCCUAAAGAGUAACGGAGGAGCACGAAGGUUGGCUAAUCCUGGUCGGACAUCAGGAGGUUAGUGCAAUGGCAUAAGCCAGCUUGACUGCGAGCGUGACGGCGCGAGCAGGUGCGAAAGCAGGUCAUAGUGAUCCGGUGGUUCUGAAUGGAAGGGCCAUCGCUCAACGGAUAAAAGGUACUCCGGGGAUAACAGGCUGAUACCGCCCAAGAGUUCAUAUCGACGGCGGUGUUUGGCACCUCGAUGUCGGCUCAUCACAUCCUGGGGCUGAAGUAGGUCCCAAGG
This 1316-nucleotide ribosomal RNA is filed under the name human gut metagenome. Its description in RNAcentral is "bacterial LSU rRNA". It matches the Rfam family "Bacterial large subunit ribosomal RNA", at positions 1271 to 2570 of the family's 2925-position model. The record is from RNAcentral.